CUGCUGCACACAGAGGGGAAGCAGGAAGGAGUCCCUGCUUCCCCAACUUACAGCACAGGAGGGACUGAAUCCCCUCCUCCUCCAGCCCAAACUUACUGUAAGUUAGAGAGUGUGUGCUGUGUGUGUGUAACUGUGAUUGUGACUGUCUUUGACUGUGUGUGUGAUUGUCUGCUUGUGUGUGUGUGUGUGUGUGUGUGUGACUGCCUGUGAUUGUCUGCCUAUGAUUGUCUGUGUGACUCUGUGUGUGUGACUCUCUGACUGAUUGUGUGUGUGUUUGUGUGUGUGUGACUGCCUGUGAUUGUCUGCCUGUGAUUGUCUGUGUGAUUCUGUGUGUGUGACUCUCUGACUGAUAGUGUGUGUGUUUGUGUGUGUCUGACUGCCUGUGAUUGUCUGUCUGUGUGACUCUGUGUGUGUGACUCUCUGACUGAUUGUGUGUGUGUUUGUGUGUCUGCCUGUGAUUGUCUACCUGUGAUUGUCUGUGUGAUUGUCUGCCUGUGAUUGUCUGUGUGACUCUGUGUGUGUGUGACUCUCUGACUGAUUGUGUGUGUGUUUGUGUGUGUGUGACUGCCUGUGAUUGUCUACCUGUGAUUGUCUGUGUGAUUGUCUGCCUGUGAUUGUCUGUGUGAUUGUCUACCUGUGAUUGUCUGCCUGUGAUUGUCUGUGUGAUUGUCUACCUGUGAUUGUCUGUGUGAUUGCCUGUGAUUGUCUGUCUGUGAUUGUCUGUGUGAUUGCCUGUGAUUGUCUGUGUGAUUGUCUGCUUGUGAUUGUCUGUGUGACUCUGUGUGUGACUCUCUGACUGAUUGUGUGUGUGACUGUGAUUGUGUUAUGUGUAUGUAUGACUGUCUGCCUGUGAUUGUAUGUGUGUGUGUGUGUCACUGUGUGUGUGUGACUGUCUGCCUGUGAUUGUCUGUGUUACUCUGUGUGUGUGUGUGUGUCACUGUGUGUGACUGUCUGCCUGUGAUUGUGGGUGUGGGUGUGUGUGUGUGUGUGUGUGACUGUCUGCCUGUGAUUGUGUGUGUGUGACUGUCUGUGACUGUGUUGUGUGUAUGUGUGACUGUCUGUGAUUGUGUGUGUGACUGUCUGCCUGUGUGAUUGCCUGCGUAUUUGACUGUCUGCCUGUAACUGUGUGUAAGUGACUGUGUGUGGGACUGUGUGCAUCUGACUGUGUCUGACGGUCUUCACCCUGCAGUGAGCCGGCAGCCAGGAUAUGAUGUCAUCGCAGCCUCGGCGUCAUUACAGGGCGUGCGUGCGAGAGAUCCCAGCAGCAACCACUGACCACCAGGGACUGAGGAUCCACUCCAGCCCUUCUAGAGCAAG
This is a non-coding RNA of Pelobates cultripes (western spadefoot toad), 1317 nucleotides long. NCBI's taxonomy places the organism in Eukaryota, Metazoa, Chordata, Amphibia, Anura, Pelobatidae. The record is from the annotation of a GenBank genome assembly.